AUGCCCAAUAUGAAAUUUCUGAAAAUCGAUGGAGCACAUGCAGUUACUAAGGUUGGAUCUGAAUUUGUUGGCUACAAGAAGGGUGAACCCAUAUGCAAUGAAUUAGUUGCUUUCCUUAAACUUGAGUGGUUGUUUAUCAGCAAUAUGCCUAAAUGGGAGGAGUGGUCAUUUUUUGAAGAAGAAAUAGAAGUUACUUCUGAUGAAAGGCGAGAGGAUGGAGCUGUUGAGUCACAAAAAGAGAAUGCCCAAUCUGUAAGGUUACGACUGCUGCCUCGUUUGGAGCAGUUGGGACUCGACAAUUGCCCCAAGCUGAGGGCUCUCCCGCAACAACUCGGAGAGCACACCACCAGCUUGAAGAAGCUAUAUUUAGAUGAAACAAACAGCUUGAAGGCUGUGGAGAACCUACCACACCUCACUGAGCUCCUCCAUAUUACAAAAUGUGGAAAACUGGAGAGGAUAUGCAACCUCCCUCAACUGACAGAACUGCGUGUACAUGGUUGUCCAAACUUAAUCCAUGUAGAGGGGUUGGAAAGUUUGCAACGGCUGUGGCUGGGCGAGGAUAUGCAAGUGGUCUCUUCCCGUUGGCUGGCUGUGCUCCAAAAGCAGCACCGGCGACUUCAUGGUGAAGAUUUGGAUGUCUACACGUGGUCCACCAGUUAG
RNAcentral lists this ribosomal RNA (660 nucleotides) under Triticum aestivum (bread wheat). RNAcentral describes it as "partial small subunit ribosomal RNA". Lineage: Eukaryota; Viridiplantae; Streptophyta; Magnoliopsida; Poales; Poaceae. The record is from RNAcentral.